UGACACUCACUGCUAUUAGUAUUUGAUGUA
This 30-nucleotide non-coding RNA is filed under the name Rattus norvegicus (Norway rat). Lineage: Eukaryota; Metazoa; Chordata; Mammalia; Rodentia; Muridae. The record is from RNAcentral.